Molecule: ribosomal RNA, 433 nt
Filed under: uncultured bacterium
Lineage: Bacteria
Description: partial 16S ribosomal RNA
Rfam family: Bacterial small subunit ribosomal RNA
Source: RNAcentral
AACGAACGCUGGCGGCAUGCCUAACACAUGCAAGUCGAACGAGACCUUCGGGUCUAGUGGCGCACGGGUGCGUAACGCGACGGAACCUGCCCUUAGGUUCGGAAUAACUCCCCGAAAGGGGUGCUAAUACCGGAUAAUGUCUCCGGACCAAAGAGUUAUCGCCUCCGGAUGGGCCCGCGUUGUAUUACCUAGUUGGUAGGGUAAAAGCCUACCAAGGCGACGAUCCAUAGCUGGUGUGAGAGGGUGCUCAGACACACUGGGACUGAGACGCGGCCCAGACUCCUGCGGGAGGCAGCAGUGCGGAAUAUUGGACACUGCACGAAAGCCUGAUCCAGCACUGCCGCGUGAGUGAUGAAGGCCUUAGGGUUGUAAAGCUCUUUUACCCGGGAUGAUAAUGACAGUACCGGGAGAAUAAGCUCCGGCUAACUCCGUG